Long non-coding RNA from Tupaia belangeri chinensis (Chinese tree shrew), 708 nucleotides. RefSeq lists it as uncharacterized. The record is from RefSeq and is a predicted model, not a curated record. NCBI's taxonomy places the organism in Eukaryota, Metazoa, Chordata, Mammalia, Scandentia, Tupaiidae. The transcript is spliced from 3 exons.
CCCGUGGAGUGCAGAGUCAGCAGAGCACAGCACUGGAACUGGGCUUCUGGCAUCCACUGUAAAAGGGAAACAGUACCAGUACGAAAAUCCCUGUUUUUACACUGAGAGUGGCAUCACCAGGUCACCGUACCACAGCACUCUCCACGAACAGCGUGGAGCUGUAGAAACUUCAAGAACAUAAAGACGGGAGAACUCGCGCUGUAGCAGUCACUCGACAAACCCGUCGGGGCACCGCCUGUGUCGGGCACUGCCCCAGACACUAAAUGCGGAGGCCUGCCCUGUCCAAUUUGCAUUCUAGCAGAAAGAAGACCUGCAGAUAAGACCUAAGACUUUAUAUAAGGACCUGGAAGAUGAACGGAAAGAAGGAAGGACAAAGUAGACAGGGCAGGGGCGUCAGAGGGACUGGCAUUUGUUAAAAUGCCUGGUCAUUGUUGACCUCUUCAAAGAGGUGACAUUUGAACAAAGACUGAGAGAAGGGAGGGUGUGAACCCUGCAGAGAUCUGGUCCAGGCAGAGGAGGGCCUGCCAGGAGUGUUCCAGAAGGGCCAGAGGGCCAAUGGGCUCCGGAAGAGAGACCCAGAGGCUGAUCUUAUCUGAGCGGAUGCUCGUGUUUCAUCUGAACACAGUCCUUCCAUACGUUUUACUCUGAACGACAGCAACGAGGACUUAAAAUGGUUUCCGGAUCUCCCCCAAGAGCAGGCCCGGAGAC